Solanum pennellii is the source of this 3312-nucleotide RNA transcript. It is a transcript of the gene named probable ion channel POLLUX, with no coding region annotated. The record is from RefSeq and is a predicted model, not a curated record. NCBI's taxonomy places the organism in Eukaryota, Viridiplantae, Streptophyta, Magnoliopsida, Solanales, Solanaceae. The transcript is spliced from 12 exons.
UUUGGCAAAAAAGAAGAACGUAAAUGGGAAAGCACUUCAAUACCGAGAAUGAAACAAAGCUCCAAUUAAACUAAAAAUAUAAACUACCAUAACCUCCUGUCUUUCCACUUGAGCCAUGUGAGUCUCCCAUGGCUUCUCCAUUUGCUUGUAAACAUUGAUUCCAUUACCUCCCCACUUCACUUCUCUCCAUAAUCUCCCCUCUCUCUCCGUGUUGUAUAAUUGUCUCCCCGUUCGAUCCGACAAUGCCCGACACAAAUGGAGCUCCAAAUUCCAAAACCAAUCCAAGCCCUAACAUGCCGGAGAGACCUCCGUUGCUCAAGAAAUCCAAAAUAAAUGCCGACAACACACUCGCCGGACAACUUUUCCCCGCUGUUCUUCGUGUCUCUUCUACUUCACCAUCCUACUCUGAAUCUCAUACCACUUCCGCGACUAAUGAUGCAAAUUUUGGAUUUGGCGAUCGUGACUACGUUUACCCCUCUUUUCUUGGACCGCAUACUACUAAGAGUAGAGUUAACGUCAAGUCAACUUCGAAAUCACAGAGGAAUCAGCUCGAAUUACCAGCUCGUAGCGAGUCUAUGCCUUCCAAUUUGAGUUGUGAAGCUAAGGUUGAGUCAAAGAUGAAGCUCAAGCCCAAGCUGAAAGCUGAGAAAGAUUUGAAUGCUUUGUCAAUUCAAGUCUCAACUUCAGCUUCUUCGGCUUUGUCAGGGUCCAGUUCAGCUAUCUUCUCCAAUGCGCGAAGACCUUCUGCUCAUAGAUAUUCGUGGAUUCUCUUUUUGCUUAAGUUUCUUUGUACAUUAUCUGUAUCCCACACAUUAUAUUUGCGGAAUGAAGUCUCUAAACUUCAGGAGGAGAAUAGUAGUCUUCGUAGAGCUUGUAGCCAUGUUGAUCUUGCCAGCGCUGGUAUCAUGGAGCUUGAAGAAGUUAAUUCAUUAGUGUAUUUUGGUAAUGCUGACAGCAGAACAGUUGCUCUGUACAUGGUGGUGUUUAUCCUCGUUAUUCCUUUUGCAUUGUACAGAUAUCUUGACUAUCUUCCGAGAAUAAUUGAUCUCUUGAAGAGGAAAUAUACCAUAAAGGAGGAGGUUCCACUGAAGAAAAGGAUUGCAUAUGUGGUGGAUGUGUGUUUCUCAGUUUACCCUUAUGCAAAGCUUCUUGCACUUCUUUUUUCCACUCUCUUUCUAAUUGUAUAUGGAGGAUUGGCACUUUAUGCUGUUGGUGAUGGCAGCUUUAUUGAAGCUAUUUGGCUUUCUUGGAGCUUUGUAGCAGACUCUGGAAACCAUGCAGAUAUGGUUGGUGCAGGGCCAAGGAUAGUUUCAGUUCUGAUAAGCUCUGGAGGCAUGCUCAUAUUUGCUAUGAUGCUGGGGCUUGUUUCAGAUGCUAUUUCAGAAAAAGUGGAUUCUUUAAGGAAAGGAAAGAGUGAGGUGAUUGAAAGUAAUCACAUUCUUGUUCUUGGAUGGAGUGAUAAAUUGGGGUCACUUUUGAAGCAGUUAGCGAUAGCAAACAAGAGCAUUGGUGGUGGUGUUGUCGUUGUUCUUGCGGAAAGAGACAAGGAGGAGAUGGAGCUGGACAUAGCAAAGUUAGAAUUUGAUUUCAUGGGAACUUCAGUUAUCUGCAGAAGUGGCAGUCCACUGAUACUUGCUGAUCUAAAAAAGGUAUCAGUCUCUAAAGCACGUGCAAUCAUUGUCUUAGCAUCUGAUGAGAAUGCUGAUCAGAGUGAUGCACGUGCUCUAAGGGUUGUACUUAGCCUAACUGGAGUAAGAGAGGGGUUGAGAGGUCAUGUUGUUGUGGAGAUGAGUGAUCUUGACAACGAACCGUUAGUGAAACUUGUUGGUGGUGAACUUAUUGAAACAGUUGUUGCGCAUGAUGUGAUUGGGAGGUUGAUGAUACAAUGUGCUUUGCAGCCUGGCCUUGCUCAGAUUUGGGAAGACAUUUUGGGGUUUGAAAAUGCAGAAUUUUAUAUCAAACGGUGGCCUCAACUGGAUGGUGUACCCUUUGAAGACGUACUGGUAUCAUUUCCGGAGGCUAUUCCUUGCGGUGUUAAGGUUGCUGCUUAUGGGGGCAAGAUUAUCAUAAAUCCUGAUGAUAGAUAUGUUCUAAAAGAAGGUGAUGAAGUCCUUGUUAUAGCUGAGGAUGAUGAUACCUAUGCGCCAGGUCUCUUACCAGAGGUAAAUAAAGGCCUAUUCCCUAGGAUAACUGAUCCUCCAAAAUAUCCAGAAAGAAUCUUAUUCUGUGGCUGGAGACGUGAUAUUGAUGAUAUGAUUAUGGUACUGGAGGCAUUAUUGGCUCCAGGGUCUGAAUUGUGGAUGUUUAAUGAGGUGCCCGAGAAAGAUAGAGAAAAAAAGUUGACUGAUGGGGGUCUUGAUAUAUCAGGACUAGAUAACAUAAAACUUGUCCAUCGUGUGGGAAAUGCAGUGAUUAGACGUCAUUUAGAGGGUCUUCCUUUGGAGACAUUUGAUUCGAUGAAUCCGUCGAAGACUCCAUUGUUCACUCUGAUUCACGCUCUCUUGCCACCCUCCUUCUCAUCCGAGAUAUCCAGUCGAAGCGUCUUCCUAAUAAAGAUUCUAGGUCGGUUUCUCUACGGCAUUCAGUGUUUUCUCAGAGCUCCUGGAUUCGUGAAAUGCAGCAGGCUUCAGACAGAUCAAUAAUAAUAAGUGAGAUAUUGGACUCUAGGACAAGAAAUCUUGUGUCAGUGUCUAGGAUAAGUGAUUACGUGCUGUCAAAUGAACUGGUGAGCAUGGCACUUGCAAUGGUAGCAGAAGACAAACAGAUUAAUCGUGUUCUAGAAGAACUGUUUGCGGAAGAGGGAAAUGAAUUAUGCAUCAAGCCGGCAGAGUUUUAUCUGUAUGAUCAGGAAGAAGUGUGCUUCUAUGAUAUCAUGAGAAGGGGUCGUCAAAGACGGGAGAUAGUGAUUGGAUACCGCAGUGCAGCUGCAGAACGUGCUGUGAUUAACCCAGCAGGCAAGUCAAAGCAAAGAAAGUGGUCCCUUGAUGAUGUUUUUGUGGUUAUUUCCUCAGGUGACUGAAAACCUUCUUUAUAUUAAUCAUCACAAACUCUCUCCCGACAAGCAACACUCACAGGGUCACUACAAAAGAGGCAAAUGAGGUAAACUUUAACCAGCAGAUUAGGUAGAAAAUAAUAGCAAGAGAGAGGUAAGAACUGGUCUGCGUAGUAGGAAAGGAGGGGAGAGCUAGCUGUUAAUUCCUUUUUUUGUCUUUUUUCUUUUUUCAUUUUUCAUUUUUCACAUUUUGCAAUACAAAUCGGGGAAAUGAAGAAUGAAAAUUUACCAUCAUUAGACAAUUAGUUUUUUUUGUUUCA